CCUACGGGAGGCAGCAGUGAGGAAUAUUGGUCAAUGGACGAGAGUCUGAACCAGCCAAGUAGCGUGAAGGAUGACUGCCCUAUGGGUUGUAAACUUCUUUUAUAUGGGAAUAAAAUGUUCCACGUGUGGGCUUUUGUAUGUACCAUAUGAAUAAGGAUCGGCUAACUCCGUGCCAGCAGCCGCGGUAAUACGGAGGAUCCGAGCGUUAUCCGGAUUUAUUGGGUUUAAAGGGAGCGUAGGUGGCUUGUUAAGUCAGGUGUGAAAGUUUGCGGCUCAACCGUAAAAUUGCAGUUGAAACUGGCAGUCUUGAGUACAGUAGAGGUGGGCGGAAUUCGUGGUGUAGCGGUGAAAUGCUUAGAUAUCACGAAGAACUCCGAUUUCGAAGGCAGCUCACUGGACUGCAACUGACACUGAGGCUCGAAAGUGUGGGUAUCAAACAGGAUUAGAUACCCCAGUAGUC
RNAcentral lists this ribosomal RNA (460 nucleotides) under uncultured bacterium. RNAcentral describes it as "partial 16S ribosomal RNA". It matches the Rfam family "Bacterial small subunit ribosomal RNA", at positions 338 to 795 of the family's 1533-position model. The record is from RNAcentral.